Podarcis lilfordi (Lilford's wall lizard) is the source of this 4405-nucleotide non-coding RNA. Lineage: Eukaryota; Metazoa; Chordata; Lepidosauria; Squamata; Lacertidae. The record is from the annotation of a GenBank genome assembly.
UGUGUGUAUUGCUUAGAAGUCCUUGCUAUAGUUUUUUAAGUGCGGUUUGAGGGAUUUAUUUUUAUGUAGUGCAGUCAAAUAUGUCAUCUGAAGCUGAGCCAUAUAUACUUCAAUCCUUUAGAAUGUUUGGAAAAGGACUGGCUUUUUCUGAUCCAGAUUUUCUUGGCAUCACUAUUAAAGCACCUGCAAAGGAGAAAAAAAAAAAAAGGGAAGAAAAAAACAUUUCACAUCCAUCUGGCUUGGUUACAUGUAAACUGCCUACAUUAUGUCAAGUGCAAUAAAGGCAGGAAUAAAAACAAAACCACUAUCAGCUAAGAGAAUUUUAUUUAUUCCUUUUUGAGCUACGGAAGCAACUUCCUGCCUAGUACUACAGCCGAAGCUAGCAAUGAUCAUGCAACUGUAGUGUGUGUUAGCAUAUGUAGCCGAGGUAGAGAGAAAGAGGCUUACUCAUGUGGGAUGAGUUUUGCUGAGGCUGAAAAGAUUUGCCUUUGAAAAAUGUUAGGUGGUUUAGAGCAAGUGCUGGUCACUCCCCUGCUGGAAAAGAAGAAAGUUGAGGAGGAGCCCUUGCUUUUUUUACAGAACUAAAAAUCUGAAACUUGCUUGUACAUCAUGCUUUUUAAAGCACUCCCCCAAAGAAUUCUAGGAACUGUGUUUUCAUUUCUUUCAUUUCGUUACAUAUUUUGUGUUUUCGCUUUGUAUUUUUAUGCUGCAAACUCCCCUGUGAUCUUCGAAUGAAGGGAGCCAUAUGAAUUUCAAUAAAUCAAUAGGAAACCCCUCACGGAACUACAAAAUUCCCAGCACCCUUAAUGAACUAUAGUUCCCGUGAUUCUUUUGAAGGGUGCUUUAAAGGAACAAUGGGUACGCAACCUAUACAGUCAUACCUCGGGUUAAAGAUGCUUCAGGUUAAAUCUUUUCAGAUUGCGUCCCGCGGUGACCCGGAAGUAACAGAACGGGUUACUUCCGGGUUUCACCGCUCGCGCAUGCGCAGACACUCGGAAUGAUGUCACGCACAUGUGUAGAUGUGGCAAAUUGCGACCCGCGCAUGCGUAGACACGCAGACACAGGUUGCGUUCUGCUCAUGACGCGAACGGGGCUCUGGAAUGGAUCCCAUUUGCAUCCAGAGGUACCACUGUAAGGCAUGGGGGUUGUGUCUUCUUCUAUGUCAUCACAAGUACUGUCCAAUAGGUGCCUGCGGCAAGUGAAGAAGAGCUCUUUCACAGGAGCUGGACUCUGCUAACUCGGGACCAAACUGGAUAGUUGAUGCAGUUAUUAUAUCUUGCCCUUCUGUUGGAUGCCCAGGUAGCAUCUGUGGCAUGAGGCACCUUCCACCAGCUUAGUCUGGUGCUCCAGCUGUGUCUCCUCCUCCUGAAAAGAAAUAUCCUGGCCACUGUUACCCAGCACCUGGAUUAGAUUGGACCACUGCAGUGCAUUGUAUGUGGAACCACAUUUGUAAACUACUCAGAAAGCUCCAGUUGGCACAAAAUGCGAUAGCUGGGUCACUGGUUGGCACUAACUCCAGUGAACCCCAUUGGCUUCCCAUUUGUUCCAGGGCACAAUUCAAAGUGCCGGCUUUUAAUCUUGAAAGUCGUUUCGGGCUUUGGACCUGGAUAUCUGAAGGACUGGUUGCUGCCUUAUGAAUUUGCCUGGAGGGUGUAUGGUUGGGGUUCCUGCCUUCCUCUGUGGAUGUCUAUAUACCUAAUAUGCCCUUCACAUCUAUAACGCCUGACACCAGCAUUCAGCCUGCUCAUAUCAUUUCAGAUAGAAACAAGCAAACUACUGGCAUAUCUAGACCUUUAUUAUUUAUUUUAAGGCCAAUAUCUAUUGAACUUGAUUUAUUUACCUUUUGCAACUGCUUCGAAACCACACACUGCAAUGAUCCUGUCAGUUUAGCUGGGUCUGCCGUGGCUAGAGCGAUGGCAUCAACGUACAGACUCAGUUGAAAGAUUUUUAUCUCCAAUUUCAGGAAACCAUAUGUUUAGUUUAUUUAUUUCCAUUGCCAAAGGCCUGGAUCCGCAAGUAUCUUGCUUGUAGAAAGGCACUUCUGCUCAUGCAAGGAGCACCCUCAAUUUCUGCCACCUGCUACCCCAGCUGCAGCUGCCUGUGCACACUUAUUAACCACACUUGGGAUGGCUGGAGAGGUUGUGCCUUGACUGCAAUGGUGAUCUUACGAGGCAAGAAUCAGCAGUUUUCCUCCCCUGUAUGCUGAGAAGCUAACCUGCCCAGCUCAUUUCCAGAUUACCUGUUUAUUGAGCAUUCAUCCUGAUUUGUCUGCACAAGUGUGGGGAGGUUAUAAGACGUCAUCUGUUUAUUGAGCAUUUGUUCUGAUUUGUUUGCAGGAAGGUCAGAUGAUGAUUUCUUAAGCAGGUGUUAUCUCACACCUUCCCCCCCCCCUCACUUUUCUUACUGUAAAAUAUCUGGCUCUGUGGGGAAAUGAUUUUGUUGCUCAAGAGCACCAAAUCAUAUUGAACUGUGCAACCUGAAUCCACCGGUGUGUUAUAUAGAAUCCCUCCUGAAAAUAGCAAACAUCUGGAAGUGCCCCUUUUCUCUGUUUGGUGCGAGAGGUCUCCAGACCCACAGGCAUAGGAGUGCCACCUUAUUUCUUAGCCUCUUGCCUUUAUUUCUUUAGGCAAAACCUCAAAAGGAGAUGGGAUACCCACUUUAACUCCCUAGAGCAGGCAGCAAACAAUCCACAAAGAACUAGAGCAAAUGUAAAACGUAAGCAGGGGUCCCCAAAUGGAUAAGAGUUGUUUGUGAGGGUAAGUUAGCUUGUGUUCUGAUCUAAGAGGUGGCAGGGAUGUUAUUGUGGUGGUAGGGGACCUGUUCAGUCUCUGAAGGCAAUUCUGGGCAUUUAAGAAACAAACAAGUCCAAAAACAUAGUCGCUACUGUGGUACCUCGGGUUACAGACGCUUCAGGUUACAGACUCCGCUAACCCGGAAGUAGUACCUCGGGUUAAGAACUUUGCUUCAGGAUGAGAACAGAAAUCAUGCUCCAGCGGCAGCGGAAGGCCCCAUUAGCUAAAGUGGUACCUCAGGUUAAGAACAGUUUCAGGUUAAGAAUGGACCUCCAGAACAAAUUAAGUUCUUAACCCGAGGUACCACUGUACUUAGUUGAUGCAGGAGAUUCCAAUGCGUGUCCCCGAAGUUGUAAAACUGUUAGUUGCCACAGGGAAUAAAAAUAUCUUCCUCCAGGAAGUGCUUCUCAUGCGAAAAUCACAUGUUCUCAGCAGUCGGACUGUAAUUUUACCCUGCUGGUUAAGUUGUGAUUUUUCUGCACCGCGGCAGUGCAUCUGUUCUUGUUUUCUAUGUGCAGCCGAAUCGCAUAGGAUGUUGCACUUCCAAUACAACUGCUGCACAUAGGAGUGUCAUUGCUGCACACAGAACAAGAUCUGGGAAAGCUGGACACUAACUGAAAAUGAGUUGCUCUUGCAACUUCACAUACUUACCAGGACUUUACAUUUACAUUUUCUUUUGGCUAAUAUAAUUUUCUCCGUGGAGAUUUUUUCUCUCUCCCUUUUCCAUGAGUUGUGGCAAGCGCACAUUCUUUUCAUAAAUUAAUUUGUCCUUGCAAAGCAUAAUGUCAGCAUCUUUUUAUUCCCCUUUGUGCCUGACAUUUAAUAGGUUUUUGUUUUCCAUGGCAAAAGAUACCGCUCUGUUAUUUAGGUAGUAGAGGAGGAGAGAGGGAGGUUAAGCCAAAAGCAAUAAAAAAAAAAGCAUAACCGCAAUUAAAUGUCAGCUGAUCAGCUUUUAGAAAACAGUCAGCUCCUUCUCUCCCCUUCUCCACUCUCCUUCCUUCAAAGUGCUGUAAUUUAGCAGAAAGCCAAAGCAGCAAAUGAAGCACUUGUUUCAUGCAGCCAGCUUUUAGCAAUGUGUUAUUGGUUAUUCAAAGGCAAAAUGAGAUGUGAAACAUGAACUGUCUCUCCUCCCCACUGUGGGUCCAUUAAAUUAUAGAGACAAUAUUGUAGUGCUUAGCUAGCAUAUUUAUUGCAAGAUGUAUCCCAUUAUUAUAUGCUAGAGAAAUGAGUGCUUGUAAUGAACCAAUUAGCAAGGAGGCAGCUGUUUGGAUUAUUACACCCAUUUUAUAGGUGGGUAAUCAGAUCCUGCAGUCCGUGGUAGAGCUGGACAGAUGCUUCCUUAAACAUGGUGCCCUAUGCGACCUGAGGAUUCCCAUUUUGAAGGCACACGUUUUGUACAACAUAAAUGCAGUGUGUGAUUCUUCAUGCGCUAUGCUAUAAGAAGGCAUGCAAGUGUUCCAAGGGGAAGUGCUUGUUUUCAGUGCUCAGUUUGUGUGGUGGUACAUUUUGAAUUCUCAUGUUGCAGGAUGAUUUAUUUAUUUUUUAAGAUUCUGAAAUGUGUGCAGGAAUUUUCUAAGCUUGCUGCUUUAUUGGGACUGUAAUAUAGCUGAUUC